Molecule: ribosomal RNA, 1027 nt
Filed under: Corynebacterium sp. HMSC070B05
Lineage: Bacteria; Bacillati; Actinomycetota; Actinomycetes; Mycobacteriales; Corynebacteriaceae
Description: bacterial LSU rRNA
Rfam family: Bacterial large subunit ribosomal RNA
Source: RNAcentral
UUUGCGGGUCGAAGCGGAGAAUUUAAGCCCCAGUAAACGGCGGUGGUAACUAUAACCAUCCUAAGGUAGCGAAAUUCCUUGUCGGGUAAGUUCCGACCUGCACGAAUGGCGUAACGACUUCCCUGCUGUCUCAACCACAGACCCGGCGAAAUUGCAGUACGAGUAAAGAUGCUCGUUACGCGCGGCAGGACGAAAAGACCCCGGGACCUUCACUAUAGCUUGGUAUUGGUGUUCGGUUCGGUUUGUGUAGGAUAGGUGGGAGACUGUGAUGCCUCAACGCCAGUUGGGGUGGAGUCGUUGUUGAAAUACCACUCUGAUCGUAUUGGACAUCUCAACCUCGGCCCGUGAUCCGGGUUAGGGACAGUGCCUGGUGGGUAGUUUAACUGGGGCGGUUGCCUCCCAAAGAGUAACGGAGGCGCCCAAAGGUUCCCUCAGCCUGGUUGGCAAUCAGGUGUUGAGUGUAAGUGCACAAGGGAGCUUGACUGUGAGACUGACAGGUCGAGCAGGUAGGAAACUAGGGACUAGUGAUCCGGCACCGGCUUGUGGAAGCGGUGUCGCUCAACGGAUAAAAGGUACCCCGGGGAUAACAGGCUGAUCUUCCCCAAGAGUCCAUAUCGACGGGAUGGUUUGGCACCUCGAUGUCGGCUCGUCGCAUCCUGGGGCUGGAGUAGGUCCCAAGGGUUGGGCUGUUCGCCCAUUAAAGCGGCACGCGAGCUGGGUUUAGAACGUCGUGAGACAGUUCGGUCUCUAUCCGCCGCGCGCGUAGAAACUUGAGGAAGGCUGUCCCUAGUACGAGAGGACCGGGAUGGACGUACCUCUGGUGUGCCAGUUGUCCCGCCUGGGGCAUGGCUGGUUGGCUACGUACGGAAGGGAUAACCGCUGAAAGCAUCUAAGCGGGAAGCCUGUUCCAAGAUUAGGUUUCUUUUGAGGUCCCCUAUAGAUGAUGGGGUUGAUAGGCCGGAUCUGGAAGCAUCGUAAGGUGUGGAGGUGACCGGUACUAAUAGACCAAACACUCAACACACAAUGU